UGUAAACCCACUCAUUACACCAAAAAAUUGAUGCUCGUGCGAGGCAGGGGAAAGAAAAAUAUCCAUCGGGACAUAUUUUAUUAAUUCAACGCUUUUUCUUAUAAACUCUAAGAUCCGUCCGAGGAUGAGAGUAAUACUUAUCUGGACAAGAAGAUCUGGCAGCCUUGGAAGGCGAGGGCAAGGAUGGUGCGGCCCCAGGGCGAGAGUGAGCUGUACGGUAAUCUGAUGAGUGCAAAGAGACGCUUCAGUAUGCUGGACAGAUACCAGCAGAGAAUCGCACACAAUAACCUCUAGAUCUGCAAAAACAAACAAUAGCAGAUAAACAGGAGUAAAUAGCAAAAACAUGCAACUUCUAUGCAAUUGGAAAUUAUAUUUAAAAAGGCUGAUUCAUGAAUUGAACGUGUUCGUUCGCGUUGUGAGUUGAUGGUUCCGUUGUUUGUAGAUAAUACUGGAAAUUAUCUUUUUAGAAAAAAAGUAACCCAACAAUUUUUCUUUAAAAAUUAUUCACGUUCGAAAAAAAUUCUAAAGGCAUUUUUUGAACCAUGAUAACUUUUGCAGUUAAAUUGUUGUUUGGA
Molecule: long non-coding RNA, 575 nt
Organism: Symsagittifera roscoffensis
Lineage: Eukaryota; Metazoa; Xenacoelomorpha; Acoela; Convolutidae
Exons: 2
Source: RefSeq, a predicted model, not a curated record